CGGGCUUUGGCGAGGUGACGGUGCGGCGUGCCCCCUUGCGGCGCGACCGCGGCGCGGAAAUCGAGGGCUUCGUGGUUCUGUCGCGGCGCAAUCCGG
Molecule: transfer RNA, 96 nt
Filed under: bioreactor metagenome
Description: tRNA-Lys
Source: RNAcentral